CAGUCGCCACGGUAAUACGAAGGUCCCGAGCGUUGUUCGGAAUCACUGGGCGUAAAGGGAGCGUAGGCGGCGUGGUAAGUCAGAUGUGAAAUCCCGGGGCUCAACCCCGGAACUGCAUCCGAUACUGCCGUGCUAGAGGAUUGGAGAGGUAGCUGGAAUUCUUGGUGUAGCAGUGAAAUGCGUGGAGAUCAAGAGGAACACUCGUGGCGAAAGCGAGCUACUGGACAAUAUCUGACGCUGAGGCUCGAAGGCCAGGGUAGCGAAAGGGAUUAGAGACCCCUGUAGUCCCUGUCUCUUAUAC
Molecule: ribosomal RNA, 301 nt
Filed under: uncultured bacterium
Lineage: Bacteria
Description: partial 16S ribosomal RNA
Rfam family: Bacterial small subunit ribosomal RNA
Source: RNAcentral